CGAAACACAGGGCUCGUGGCAGAGGCGCCAGUCUCCUUCAGAGACGCUGGUCUCCAAAGGCAACAUCUGGGUCCGGUCACCGAAGACAGAUGGGCUCCCUCUACUUCGUCCCCCAUCCCCGCGGGACCUCUGCCGGAGGCGCGGCAUGCUAUUUGAAUGCAAUGAUAUGCUGACUAAAUCGUUCCUGCACGGUGCGCGCAGAGUGCAUUCCUACUGUUAGAACCUAUUCUGUAUCUG
Molecule: long non-coding RNA, 237 nt
Filed under: Lynx canadensis (Canada lynx)
Lineage: Eukaryota; Metazoa; Chordata; Mammalia; Carnivora; Felidae
Description: lncRNA (ENSLCNG00005015535.1)
Source: RNAcentral